GACAGAGGUGCCGAGCGUUAGGCGGAAUCACUGGGCUUAAAGCGUGUGUAGGCGGACUUCUAAGUACCUUGUGAAAUCCCACGGCUUAACCGUGGAACUGCUUGGUAUACUGGUUGUCUUGGGCCAUCUAGGGGCUACUGGAACAAACGGUGGAGCGGUGAAGUGCGUAGAUAUCGUUUGGAACGCCAAUGGUGAAAACAAGUAGCUGGGGAUGUGCCGACGCUGAGACACGAAAGCCAGGGGAGCGAACGGG
Molecule: ribosomal RNA, 253 nt
Filed under: uncultured bacterium
Lineage: Bacteria
Description: partial 16S ribosomal RNA
Rfam family: Bacterial small subunit ribosomal RNA
Source: RNAcentral